GGGGCUGGUGAGCAUAGAGAAUAAGUAGAAGGAGAAAUCUAGGCUCAGGAAGAGAAGAUGGAAGGAGAGAUCGGGGAACACACCGGGACCACAGCCAGAAAGCAAUCAGCCAGCCAGACAGAGACAGCAAGAAAGGAAGAAAAGGUAAAAAGCCCAGAGGCAGAAGUUUUGGGAAGAGCCCGGCAGUACCUUGUCAAUCACCUUGGAAACCAUGGACCAAGAUGCCAGGCAGACAGCUUGCAGGGCAGACUAGCUCUACAGCUCUAAGAUACAAGUGGACUGCCAACUGCUGGAUCAUUUGGACCAAGGGAUAUUUCCACUUAGGGAGAGAGGGAAGCUGCCUCUGAGAGGGAUGGGAAGGUAGAUGAGCCCAUAGCAGAUCAAACACUGAAGAAGAAAAUAUACAUGACUCAAGGAAGACAUAGAAACCUGUCUCGAAUACCAGAAAGGGAGACAAGACUUCUAGAAACAGAUAGUGACUGCUGAGACACUGCAGGCAGUCUAGAACAUGCAAAUGCAGUCCCAAAGAUGAAGAGGAGGAGGAAAAGGGGGAACAUAUAGAUGAAGAAGUAUCCCCCCAGCCCCAUAUCUUUUUUUUUAACAUAUGAGCCCAGGACCUGGAGAGAUGACUCUGUAGUUAGGAGCACUUGAAUAAGACUGGGUUCAAUUCCUAGUGUUUACAUGGUACUCAGAACAACCUAUAAGUCCAGUUCUAGGGGUUUUGACACACUCCUCUGACCUGCAUAGGCACCAGGUACACACCACACACACACACACACACACACACACACAGGUACGUGUACUACAAAGUUCCUCAGAGUUCCCUCACACAAACUCAUAUACACAGGCCCAUACAAAUAAUAUUGUAAUCAAAUGUCUGAAACCUACUCAUAAAGAACUUAUAUUCUCAGCAACCAGACAAAAUGGACAAUUUAACUACAAAGACAUGAAGAUGAUUGUCUUAGUUAGAGUUUUAUUGCCGUGAAGAGACUCCAUGACCACACCAACUCUUAUAAAGGAAAACAUCUAACUGGGGCUGGCUUACAGUUU
Molecule: long non-coding RNA, 1050 nt
Organism: Mesocricetus auratus (golden hamster)
Lineage: Eukaryota; Metazoa; Chordata; Mammalia; Rodentia; Cricetidae
Exons: 4
Source: RefSeq, a predicted model, not a curated record